RNAcentral lists this ribosomal RNA (317 nucleotides) under uncultured Bacteroidales bacterium. RNAcentral describes it as "bacterial SSU rRNA". It matches the Rfam family "Bacterial small subunit ribosomal RNA", at positions 28 to 339 of the family's 1533-position model. The record is from RNAcentral. Lineage: Bacteria; Pseudomonadati; Bacteroidota; Bacteroidia; Bacteroidales.
GAUGAACGCUAGCGGCAGGCUUAACACAUGCAAGUCGAGGGGCAGCGCGGAUGUAGCAAUACAUCUGGCGGCGACCGGCGCAAGGGUGCGUAACGCGUGAGCGACAUGCCCGUGACCGGGGGAUAACCGAUGGAAACGUCGCCUAACCCCCCAUAUUACCCGGGACCGCAUGGUUCUGGGUUGAAAACUCCGGUGGUCACGGAUUGGCUCGCGUCCCAUUAGCUAGUCGGCGGGGUAACGGCCCACCGAGGCGACGAUGGGUAGGGGUUCUGAGAGGAAGGUCCCCCACAAUGGAACUGAGACACGGUCCAUACUCC